RNAcentral lists this long non-coding RNA (9245 nucleotides) under Solanum lycopersicum (tomato). Its description in RNAcentral is "long non-coding RNA (SLYC_LNC000639)". Lineage: Eukaryota; Viridiplantae; Streptophyta; Magnoliopsida; Solanales; Solanaceae. The record is from RNAcentral.
CGAAAACAUCUUAAAAUAUCUUUCAUAUUAAAAUCAUAGAAAACUUCAAGUCUCAAUAUAUGCCAUCCUUAGACUUAAAGAAAUAUUGGGACACGGCCAAUAGAAUCGAAAUAUAACAAUCUAAUAUAUAUUACAAUACAAUGAAAUAAAGAAGUCUAAAUACUAUGAUGCCCUCGAGUAAAGUGAGGAAACACUUCAACUAUGCUUGAACGAUAACUAGUUUCCAAGCUUUGCUUCAAGAUCCUUCUCAACUUCCACCUAAACCUUUAGAUAUAACAAAAUGUUGGUAAUUAGUACAAACACAUGUACUGAGUAUGACUUAAUGCAUAAAAUCAUGGGAAACAAAUAUUUAUGAGAAACGUUCUCUUUUUUAUUAAAACUUCAUAGUAUAAGCAUAAAAAUCACAUUUAAACACCAAACAACACAAUUAGUAGACAUUACAAUUUAUACAUAAUGUCCAUGCAUGUUACAGUGAAGCUUAUAGUGACUUCACUAUAAAUUCAUCCAAUAUUCACAUAUCACACUAUAGCAUCAAAGUAUAUCCAAAACACAUAAAUAUGAGAUCCUCUUACCAAAGGUAAUUCUAUUAUUCACUUGAAUGAGCUAUGAAGCGACCGCCCAUAAAAUUCCUUCAUACACACCUAAGAGAUCCUUUAGAGUAGCUAGGAUAAGAUCAUUAUCACUUCAUACAAUAACAUAUAUAAUAUUAAAUUCUCCUCCCAAAGGUUAUCAAAAGACUUACUAAAUUAACUCAACAAGAGAACGCACAUACACCUUCUCCAAUAUUACCUAUAUAAUCCUUAAGACUACCUAAGUUUAGAUCAAGUAUAAUGUAUCAAAAACUUUCCUAUCUAGAGUUAUUGUUAACACUUCCCUAGGUAAUACAUGAAGUGACCAUUCAUAUUCCCCCUUCACACCUUAACUAGGCAACCUUUAAACUACUCUAUAUAAGAACUAAUUCAUUUACAUGCUUUCUAACUUAAGUCAUUAUCUUCAUUAGUUCACUUAAGAGAGAUUCAUCACACAAGGACAUUCAAAUAAUGCUCUUGGAGAAGAACUAGGAACUCACUCACUAACAUCGUAAAAGUCUAAUCAUGCAAUGUCUAGAUAGCAUCUCAUACCACCACCUAAACAUCAUAGAACUACUCCAACACUAGUGUGUAUCCAAUAUGAUGAGAAUAGGCAAUAACUGACAUAGACUAUGGUAGCUAAUCAUGGAAUCCCAAGUCAACCCUAAUACGGUAAAGGGUAGAACUUCGACAGAUCUCAUGUAGGCACAUGGUUAAGGAAUAUGAAGGGUUUCUUUGUACUCUAGCCUCAUCCUUAACUAGCUACUUUCCAAAUAAUACUUACUCGGUGCUAACCUUUGUUCUCAUGGAGAAUUUCAAUAAAGGAGUACAUAAAGAGGUUCCAUAUCAAGUUCAUAACCCAAUCACAACACCUUACCGAAGAGGUCCCCUAGGGUUUCCUUACAAUGGUCAAGAGGAUAGCUGCAUGACAUUCCAAAGGAUGAUUUCAUGUUUCUCCUAAAAAUCAAUCUUAAGUCCACCAUUCACACAAGAAGGAUAUUGUUACGGCUUUUGACUUCGAGGAUAUAAUAACCUUAAAUCUAAGAUGAAGGCUCCACAUAAGGACUUUCUUUUCAAUGUUCAAGGUCAAAUUUCAAUCACACAUACAAGACUAAGAAUAGUUAGCAUACUAAUCCUAGAACAUAUAUUAACAGUAUACAUGUAUCAAAUAAGGGAAACAAGUCUACGAAAAUGAGACACACACUUACUUCACAUAUAACAUAUCAUUCUAGAAGAACAUAGGCAUAACAAACAUCAUAUAUAGGUCACCCUAUUCAGUAACAUAAUAUCAUCAAUAUAAAUAUCAUAAGACUCAUAUAACAAAAUAGGAAGAAUCAUGCAUCAACUCUAAAACUACACACAUAAGGACAUAGUCAUUGUCUAAAAUUAUCACCUAAUGUUAAUAGAAGGAACACAUACUUUCACGUUGGAUAUAAUCAUACAUCACAUAAAUCACUACACAAAUCAUCAUAAUAUAUCAAGUAAUGCCGACAAGGUCGUGACCUUCAAAAUUCAUAAAGUAAAACAAGCAAGGCCACAUAAUUCCCAAGUAAAGCAUAUAGAUUCGCCACCAUAAGUAAUACUAAUCCAAACAUAAUUCAAGACCUAAUUUGCAUAAAAUAAAGAAAAUGAGAGCAGCGUACCACCAAUCCACUAUCACCUAUUCAAUCCAUAGCAAAAUCAUCCAACACAAUACUCAAUGGCCCUUACCCAUGACCAUGAUCACCAAUUCAAUCCAAUACUUACAAUAGACAAUGAAUCAAAGAUAAUUCAACAUAGACUUAUGAAUUUAGGGAAUCAUAUUACAAUUGUAACAUGAUUCUAUCAUAAUUCAAUAGCCUUAAUAAAACUACAUGAGAAUUAAUAGAAUUAAGAAAUAAUCAAGUCCCCCACCAAUGAGCCAAAAACUAGGGUUCAUGAAUUAAAUGGGUUCAUAGAGUAAUUAGUUUUAAACCAUCAAAUUAACAUCAAUUCAAUCAAUUUAUUAUGAUUCAAAACGUUUUAUGCAAGAACCCAUGGGUACAUAUCAAAAUUGGACAAGUUCAUCUUUGAAAGACUUUAGAAAUCACUUUGAAGUUCUACUCCUUAUAGAAAAUAGAUUCAGUAUGAAGGAUCAUAACAUUAUUGAUGCUAGACCACGAAUUUGAUAAAUAAUCUAUGAAUAAUCACCAAAGAAAUCUUCAAUCCAAGAUCUAUCUUAAGUUUUGGCUCCAAUGGAGUUCUAUAGAAUUUGAGUUUUGAUUUUGCAAAGUGAAUUCAUAUAGGUGUUUACGACAUAUAAAAUUUGUAUAAUACCCAAAUAUCUUUAGGAAACCUCCCUUUUAAUAAUUUGUACGUGGGGUUAACUUACCAAUUCAAGCCUUCACUUAACUGUGAAGCUCCAAAAUUGCAGACGCAAACGACGCCUGCCUCACCUACGGAACGUCCUUCUUGUCCACGGUUUGGGUCUGAGUCUGGUACAAAGGGAGGACAACCUCCGACGCCUAAUUUUUAAACUACUCCCCUCACUUACGUGGCGUUGACCAGCCUACUUUGCGUCGUCUCCCUUCAGUAGGUUGGGCUGGUUUGACAACGUUUUGCUCAAAUGAUGGGUCCUUCCUCGAGGACCCUUGGUUGAUGCUUGGGGACUUUUUCUUCGACGUUUCAAACCCAAAUAUGUUUGUAUAUGAGUUUAGGAACUCUCACAUCAAUUUCAUAAAAAACGAACAUGUAAAACUCAAUGAAACAUACUAACACACACAAGGUUGUUUCAAGGCAAACCUUUCGAACGCCAUGGACGUUCUUGGAUGUUUGACCGCCAAAUAUGAAACUUUAACCACUGCCUCCUAACCUCAUUUUAACCAAUUUUAUGACUUCAAAACAUUUAGAAACAAAUGUCAGGAUCUAGUUCCACCUAAGUCGUCAUAGAGGUAUUACAAUCUCCCCCACUAGGACAACAUUCGUCCUCGAAUGACACUUGUUUCUUUUGAAAAACUUUCAAGAGACAAGACACUAAUGACUAUCAUAACAUAGCCAUACCACACCAUUCACAAUAUAAAAUUAGAAAGAACACCAACUUCACAUAAUCAAGAGAUUCACAACACAACAAGAAGCUGGAAACUAAUCUACAACUCAUUAUGCAAUAAGAGUCAUAUCCUUCAUGUCAAAUAUCAAGAACUCUUUUUAUAUUAAUUAUCAUGCUAAUAUAAAUCAUUUAUAUACGCAUUACAAAAAUUUUCAACCAAAUAAAUUUAGUCAAUUUCCCAAUAAUUUUACAGAAAGUUGCCAUGCAUUACAAUGAACAUUCUUCAAAAUUCCAAAAAUGCAAGUUUUAAGCCAUUAAUGUUGACAGCAUGACAAUACGAAGACAAAACCAUAUAAAAUCAUUUUAAAACAUAAUCAUAACUUCAUAAAAUAAACAAAUCAAGGAAUCAAUGAAAUUUAAUUUCAAGAAGACUUUAAAACAUAAUGCAACAAUGUAUUAUAAGAAAUGAGACAAUCACUCAAAACUCCACUAAUCACCAUACUCCCCCACAUAGAAGGAACUCAUCACAACUAAAAGAAGAAGCUAUGACUUAUGAAUAUCAUCUUCAUCAUCUUUCUUUGAUCCUCUAGACCGGAAUGCAUAGAAGCAAUUCUUCCUUGGACCAUCAUCACUCGAAACACUUAGAGGAACUUGUUUAGCUUCCCUUCCUCUAGCCGCAAUAGUAGGACAAUCUAUCACCUUUUGUCCAUCCUUAACACAACCAAAGCAAUUUCAUGUACUAAUUAGACAUUUCCCUUAGUGUUUCUUCCCACAAGUUGCACAAGUAGGCUUACCACCUUGAGAACCACUUACCUUCUCAAGUUUGACCUUAGGAUCUCAAGGUUCAUCUUGAGUUUGAGCCCUCUUCUUGAACCAAGGUUGGUUUUGAUCACUUGGUCCACUCCUAUUCAAGUUUAUAGAAUUCCUACUAAUCUUUGAUUCCUCUAUGGAUUGAGCAUAUACCAUGAGUCUAUAAAAGUUCAUGUCACCCUGGAGCAUGGUUGUAUGAAAUUCUUCUUUCACAAGGAUGACAACAUCGGUCAGAAAGCUACUCAUCUCAUCCCUAGGGUGAGACACCAAGUAUUGAUCAUACCUAAAUAACCUAGUGAACUUCAAGUAACACUCGUCAAAACUCAUAUUGUCUUGCUUGAGAUUAAUGAACUCUUAAACCUUGACCUACCUCAUAUCAUGGGGAAAUUACUUUCCUAAGAAAGCCUCCUUAAAAUCUUCCUACUAUAUAGGACCCGACUCAACCGGCCUAUUAUCUUUCCAUUGACUGUACCACACUUGAGAAACCUCCCUCAAUUGGAACGAAGCUAACUCCGCCUUCUCUCUAGAAGUCUUCCCAUGAUAAUCAACAUCUUAAACACAUCAUUCAGAUACUCUUAGGGAUCCUCUCCCAGCUUAGAGACAAGAAAUGUAUGAGGAUUCAUCCUCACAAAAUCUCUCAAACUAGUUGUCAUGGUGCUCUCCACAACAUUCACUCUAUGUUCAAUACCCCUAUUAACAUGGGUAGUCAUGGAUCAGGCAAAAGUAAGUAAAGCAUCUCUAAUUUCCUUAUUAGUCAUUUACGGGGAAACAACCAUAACUUCAUUACCUUGACCUCUAAUAGGGAUUUGAACACCUUGAGCACCUUGAGCCCCUUGAGUACCUUGAAGAACUUGCUUAACUUGAGGAGGAACUUCCUCAUUCACCCUUCCCUCUUCCAACCUUCUAGAGGCCAUCCUUUUAGUAUUCAUCUCCUAUAAACACAAAAGAAAAUAUUAGGAAUAGACACUUACAACCUCAACUAUAUAGGAACGACACAAGAUUUAUCAAGAAAGUGAAACUCUAUCAUCCUAUAACCUCUCGCCCAUAGAUGUGUCGUGAAUCACAGUGAUGGCCAAUACUCUACUAAACGUGACAUUAUACAAUAACAUAUAUACAAUAUGACAUUCUCCUCCCAAAGGUUAUCAAAAGACUUACAGAAGUAACUCAACAAGAGAACGCCCAUACACCUUCACCAAUAUUACCUAUAUAAACCUUAAGACUACCUAUGUUUAGAUCAAGUCUAAUGUAUCCACAAUAUUCCUAUCUAGAUUCAUUAUUAAGACUUCCCUAGGUAAGACAUGAAGUGACCAUUGAUAUGCCCCCUUCACACCUUAACUAGGAAAACUUUAUACUACUCUAGAUAAGAACUUAUUCAUUUACAUACUUUCUAACUUAAGUCAUUAUCGUUAUAAGUUCACUUAAGAGAUAUUCAUCACACAAGGACAUUCAAAUAAUGGUCUUGGAGAAUACCUAGGGGACUCACUAACAUCUUAAAAGUGUAAUUGUGUAAUGUCUAGAUAUCGUCCCAUACCACCACCUAAACUUCAUAGUACUAAUCAAACACUAAUGGGUAUCCCAUAUGAUGACAAUAGGCAAUAACUGAUAUAGACCAUGGUAGCUAAGCAUGGAAUCCGUAGUUAACCCUACUUAGAUAAAGGGUAGAACUUGGACAGACCCCUUCUAGGCACAUGGUUAAGGAAUAUGAUUGAUUUCAUUGUACUCUAGCCUCAUCCUUAACUAGAGCUACUUCCCAAACCAUAGUCACUUGGUGCUAGCCUUUUUUCUCAUGGAAUAUUUCAACAAAGGAGUACAUGAAAAGGUUCCAUAUAAAGUUCAUAACCCAAUCACAACACCUUACCAAAGAAGUCCCCUAGGGUUGCCUUACAAUGUCAAGAGGAUAGCUCAAUGACAUAGCUAAGGAUAAUUUCAUUCCGUUCAAGCCAAUCAACCUUAAGCCCACCAUUCACACAAGAACGAUACCACUACGACUUUCAACUUCAAGUAUAUCAUAACCUUACAUCUAGGAUGAAGGCUCCACAUAAAGGACGUUCGUAGCAAUGUUCAAGGUCAUAUGUCAAUCACACAUACACGACAAAGAAUGUUUAUCAUACUAAUUCAAGAACGCAUAUUAACAUUAUACAUGUAUAAAAUAAGGGAAACAAGUCUACCAAAAUGAGACACACACAUAUUUCGCAUAUAGCAUAUCAUUGUAGAAGCACAUAGGCAUAACCAACAACAUCUAUACGUCACCCUAUUCACUACUUUAAUAUCAUCUAUAUAACUAUCAUGAGACUCACAUAACCAAAUAGUAAGAAUCGUGCAUCAAUUCUAAGAAUACACACAUAAGGACAUAGUCAUUGUCUAACAUGAUCACCUAAUGUUGAUAGAAGGAACACAUACUUUCAGAGUACUCACAAGUAGAUGGAUAUGAUCAUACUUCACAUAAGUCACUACACAAAUCAUCAUCAUAUAUCAAAUAAUUCUGACAAGGACAUGAUCAUCAUAAUUCAUAAAGUAACGUCUAUGAGGCCACAAAGUUCACAAGUAAAGCACAGUGGACCAUUAAAAUCACAACAUAAUUCAAGACCUAAUUUACAUAAAAUAAAGAGAAUGAGGGCAGUGCCCACCAAUACACUCUCACCACUUCAAUUCAUAGCUAAAUCAUCCAACACAAUACUCAAAGGCCCUUACCCAUGGCCAUGAUCACCAAUUCAAUAAAAUACUUACAAUAGACAAUUAAUCAAAGAUAAAAAAAAAUUUACAUUUAUGAAUUUAGGGCAGAAUAUUAACAAUUCUAACAUGAUUCUAUAAUAAUUCAAUAGGCUAAUCAAACUACAUAAGGAUUCAAUAGCAUUAAGACAUAAUCAAAUCACCUACAGAGUAGUAAAAAAACUAGGGUUUAUGAAUUACAUAGGUUCAUAGAGUAAUUAGGUUAAAACCAUCAAAUUAGCAUCAAUUCAAUCAAUCUAUUAUGAUUCGAAAUAUUUUAUGCAAGAACCCAUGGAUAUAUAUUAAAAUUGGAAAGUUCAUCUUUGAAUGACUAUAGAAAUCACUUUGAAGUUUGACUCCUUGAAGAAAAGAAAUUCAAGGAUGAAGCACCUAGAUGAAAGACUAUAGAAAUCACUUUGAAGUUUGACUCCUUGAAGAGAAGAGAUUUAAGGAUGAAGGACCAUACCUUGAUUGAGGAUAGACCACGAGUUUAAUUAAGAAUUGAUGAAUAUUUACCAUAGAAAGCUUCAAUCCAAACUCUAUCUUGAGUUUUGGCUCCAAUGGAGUUCUAGAGAAUUUGUUAGAGAAUUUGGGUUUUGAUUUUGCGAAGUGAAUCCAUCUAGGUGUUUAAGACAUAUAAAAAUAUUUAUAAUACCCAAAAUAUCCUUAGGAGGUAUCCAUUUUAGAUAUUUGCAUGUGGGGUGAAUAUACCAAUUCACCCUUUCACUUAACAAUCAAGCAGCGAAAUUGGAGACUCAAACGUCGCCUGCCUCGCCUACGGACUAUUAUCCAACCAACGGACCCUCCUGUUGGUCCACCGUUUCGAUUAGAGGCUGUUCCAAAGGGAGGAAAACCUCCCACAUUUAAGUGCCAACCUACUCCCCUCACCUACGAGGUGUCGAUUGCCUUUCGUAGGCUGUGCUGCUUUAACAGCUUUUGGCUUAAAUGAUGGGUACUUUCUCAAGGACCCGUGGUUGGUCCUUGGGGACUUUUGCAUGGACGUUUCCAACCCGAAUAUGUUCAUAUACGAUUUAGAACCUAUCACAUAAAUUUAAUCCAUGAGGAACACGUAAAACUCAACGUAACAUACUAAGACACACAAGGUCGUUUCAAGGCAAACCUUUCAAACGUCAUCGAUGUUCUUGGACGUUUGAUCUCCAAACUUCAUGAAACUUGAACCACUACCUCCUAAAAUCAUCUUAACCCUUUUUAGGACUUCAAAACAUUAUGACACAUGCGUUAGAGUCUAGUUCCAUCUAAGUAGUUUUAGAGGUAUUACAAUAUAUAACCUUUGUUGUAAAAAAUCACACAAUUAUAUGCAUGUGCCCAAGCAUAAAGGUGAUGUGUAACAACAUAUAUAGCCUCUUUUAUAAAAAAUCAACAUAAUUAUUUGCAUGUGCCCCAACAUAAAGGAGCUAUGUGGAAACAAAUAAAACAAAUGACACAAAGAUCUAGAAGAGGCUUAGGUCUAAACAUUUAGAACGAAGAAUGAAAAUUCCAGUUCCACUCUUUUAGAAGAACUUGCAUCUAAAGCAAUUUCUUCUUCUCAAGUAGAGUACGGAGUUUCUUUUUCUAAAGUAGAACCAUAAUUUUAUCUAAAUUAUCUUGAAAUUGUCCAUAAAUUUUUUGUAGAGUAAGAAGGACAAGAAAAAAAUCAAGUGGAUAGUGAUAGAAAAGAUAAAAAUGAACUUGAUUAUGAUGAAGAAAGUGAAGAAGAAACGUAUGAAGAAUAAAAAUAAAAGUUCAGAAACAAAAAAGAGAAAAAAAAAUUGAGGAAGAAUAAGGAAAAAAAGUGUUGAGGAAAAAAGAAAGAAAGAAGAAGUUGAGGAUGAGGAGAUCAAAAUAUUCGAUGUACACACAUUCCCUUAGCAUAUCAAACCUAAUUCUAUUGUUGAUAGCAUCAUAAGGUAAGUCAUUGUAAAAUCUCAACUCAUUUGGGACCAUACUCCAAAAAAAUGAUAUAGAAGAAUUUUUUAAGGAAUAGUUAUUUUUGUCAAUAUUCUAAUUUGCAAUUACUAAUAAUGCACCUUUUCAAAUGAAUAUUGUCUAUGAUUUUCUGAAGAGAAGAUUUAUUUCUUAGAAUGAUGAGGAGUAGAUUAAUUAUUAUGGAAAGCCACUCUUCUUUGGCAAAAAAAGAGUUUUUCAUAUUUACA